RNAcentral lists this ribosomal RNA (253 nucleotides) under uncultured bacterium. RNAcentral's name for it is "partial 16S ribosomal RNA". It matches the Rfam family "Bacterial small subunit ribosomal RNA", at positions 524 to 776 of the family's 1533-position model. The record is from RNAcentral.
UACGUAGGGUGCAAGCGUUGUCCGGAAUCAUUGGGCGUAAAGCGCGUGUAGGCGGCCCGGUAAGUCCGCUGUGAAAGUCGGGGGCUCAACCCUCGGAUGCCGGUGGAUACUGUCGGGCUAGAGUACGGAAGAGGCGAGUGGAAUUCCUGGUGUAGCGGUGAAAUGCGCAGAUAUCAGGAGGAACACCAAUUGCGAAGGCAGCUCGCUGGGACGUCACUGACGCUGAGACGCGAAAGCGUGGGGAGCAAACAGG